Molecule: ribosomal RNA, 250 nt
Filed under: uncultured bacterium
Lineage: Bacteria
Description: partial 16S ribosomal RNA
Rfam family: Bacterial small subunit ribosomal RNA
Source: RNAcentral
UACAGAGGGUGCGAGCGUUGUCCGGAUUUAUUGGGCGUAAAGGGCGCGUAGGGGGUUUGGCAAGUCUUUGGUUAAAUCUCGGGGCUUAACUCCGAAACCGCCAAAGAAACUGCCAGACUAGAGAGUGUUAGAGGUGGAUAGAACGCACGGUGUAGGGGUGAAAUCCGUUGAUAUCGUGCGGAAUACCAAAGGCGAAGGCAUUCCACUGGGACAUUUCUGACCCUGAGGCGCGAAAGCGUGGGGAGCAAAA